GGUCGGUUUGCCGAGUGGCUAGGCAACGGUCUGCAAAACCGUGUACACCGGUUCGAAUCCGGUACCGACCUCCA
Molecule: transfer RNA, 74 nt
Filed under: Bacteroidota bacterium
Lineage: Bacteria; Pseudomonadati; Bacteroidota
Also listed under: 2 other names
Description: Bacteroidetes bacterium (hydrothermal vent metagenome) tRNA-Cys
Rfam family: tRNA
About the family: Transfer RNA (tRNA) molecules are approximately 80 nucleotides in length. Their secondary structure includes four short double-helical elements and three loops (D, anti-codon, and T loops).
Source: RNAcentral